This 477-nucleotide ribosomal RNA is filed under the name uncultured bacterium. RNAcentral's name for it is "bacterial SSU rRNA". It matches the Rfam family "Bacterial small subunit ribosomal RNA", at positions 29 to 507 of the family's 1533-position model. The record is from RNAcentral.
AAUGAACGCUGGCGGCGUGGAUUAGGCAUGCAAGUCGAACGCGAAAGUUCCCUUCGGGGAGCGAGUAGAGUGGCGAAAGGGUGAGUAAUGCUUGGAUGACCUGCCCUCGAGACGGGGACAACAGUUCGAAAGGACUGCUAAUACCCGAUAGUCCGGUUUAGAUGCGUCUAGAUCGGUAAAUGGUGCUUCCGCUCGAGGAGGGGUUCAAGUCCUAUCAGCUUGUUGGUGAGGUAACGGCUCACCAAGGCGAUGACGGGUAGCCGGACUGAGAGGUUGGCCGGCCACAUGGGAACUGAGAUACGGGCCAGACUCCUACGGGAGGCAGCAGUGAGGAAUAUUGCGCAAUGGGCGAAAGCCUGACGCAGCGACGCCGCGUGGGGGAUGAAGGUUUUCGGAUUGUAAACCCCUUUCAUGAGGAAAGAUAAAGUGGGUAACCACUUAGACGGUACCUCAAGAGAAGCCACGGCUAACUUCGUG